Molecule: long non-coding RNA, 526 nt
Filed under: Nicotiana benthamiana
Lineage: Eukaryota; Viridiplantae; Streptophyta; Magnoliopsida; Solanales; Solanaceae
Description: long non-coding RNA (NBEN_LNC033341)
Source: RNAcentral
UUCUCAAAGGCACACCUUGGACAAUCUUCAAGAAGGACUAAAGAUUUUCACUUAUGGAUUCAGGUACGCUUCUGCUCAUGUUGUUAUUCCAAGUAAUUCGAUAUGAAGGCUAAAGUGUUUUAUAUUUGGAUUCAUUCCAUCAAUUGGUAUCAGAGCCUCCUUCAUAUUUGGAUUAUUUGGAAGUUCAUGAAAUCCAUGUUAUAUAAAGUUUAUGAUUAAGUUAAAAUGGAAUUUUGAUUAUGAAAUUCUAGUACCAUGAUAUAGCAUGAUUUCAUGAAUGAUAUGUUGUUGAUGAACUCUGGUGUUCAAUAUCUUGUUGUCUCUAGAUGAAUUGAAAUAUUGAAAUUUGCAUAAUUUUUGUUGAUGAUCAACAUGGUUUCUUGUUUAAGUUUCUUGUUGAAAACCAUAUUAAGUCAUUGGACAGAAUAGUAAGAUAAUCGACUAUCUUGAAAGGUUGACCAAAAUUUUGCAAAACAGUAGCACAGAAUAAUCGACUAUUUUUAUGAAAUAAUCGAUUAUUCUGUUU